AGCGAACGCUGGCGGCAGGCUUAACACAUGCAAGUCGAGCGGGCACUUCGGUGUCAGCGGCAGACGGGUGAGUAACACGUGGGAACGUGCCCUUCGGUUCGGAAUAACUCAGGGAAACUUGAGCUAAUACCGGAUACGCCCUUUUGGGGAAAGGUUUACUGCCGAAGGAUCGGCCCGCGUCUGAUUAGCUAGUUGGUGGGGUAAUGGCCUACCAAGGCGACGAUCAGUAGCUGGUCUGAGAGGAUGAUCAGCCACACUGGGACUGAGACACGGCCCAGACUCCUACGGGAGGCAGCAGUGGGGAAUAUUGGACAAUGGGCGCAAGCCUGAUCCAGCCAUGCCGCGUGAGUGAUGAAGGCCUUAGGGUUGUAAAGCUCUUUUCGACGGGGACGAUAAUGACGGUACCCGUAGAAGAAGCCCCGGCUAACUUCGUGCCAGCCGCCGCUGUAAC
Molecule: ribosomal RNA, 451 nt
Filed under: uncultured bacterium
Lineage: Bacteria
Description: bacterial SSU rRNA
Rfam family: Bacterial small subunit ribosomal RNA
Source: RNAcentral